This is a long non-coding RNA of Astyanax mexicanus (Mexican tetra), 434 nucleotides long. RefSeq lists it as uncharacterized. The transcript is spliced from 3 exons. NCBI's taxonomy places the organism in Eukaryota, Metazoa, Chordata, Actinopteri, Characiformes, Acestrorhamphidae. The record is from RefSeq and is a predicted model, not a curated record.
GGACGAAUGUUCUUGGGUUCCUGAAGUGUGUGGUCCAAAUGCAAACUGCAGUAAUUCUAAUGGAAGCUACAGCUGCACAUGUCUGAAUGGAUACACUGUGACCAACUCAAACCAGUCUAUCAGUAUCAGCAACCCAUGCACAGAUGUGGACGAGUGUUCUUGGGUUCCUGAAGUGUGUGGUCCAAAUGCAAACUGCAGUAAUUCUAAUGGAAGCUACAGCUGCACAUGUCUGAAUGGAUACACUGUGACCAACUCAAACCAGUCUAUCAGUAUCAGCAACCCAUGCACAGAUGUGGACGAGUGUUCUUGGGUUCCUGAAGUGUGUGGUCCAAAUGCAAACUGCAGUAAUUCUAAUGGAAGCUACAGCUGCACAUGCCUGAAUGGAUAUAAUGUGACCAACUCAAACCAGUCUAUCAGUAUCAGCAACCCAUGCA